UACGGGGGGGGCAAGCGUUGUUCGGAAUUACUGGGCGUAAAGCGCGUGUAGGCUGCUCGGAAAGUCGGAUGUGAAAGCCCUGGGCUCAACCUAGGAAGUGCAUUCGAAACUUCCGAGCUGGAGUGCUGGAGAGGAAGGCGGAAUUCUCGGUGUAGAGGUGAAAUUCGUAGAUAUCGAGAGGAACACCGGUGGCGAAGGCGGCCUUCUGGACAGUCACUGACGCUGAGACGCGAAAGCGUGGGGAGCAAACAGG
RNAcentral lists this ribosomal RNA (253 nucleotides) under uncultured bacterium. RNAcentral describes it as "partial 16S ribosomal RNA". It matches the Rfam family "Bacterial small subunit ribosomal RNA", at positions 524 to 776 of the family's 1533-position model. The record is from RNAcentral.